Molecule: long non-coding RNA, 890 nt
Filed under: Sus scrofa (pig)
Lineage: Eukaryota; Metazoa; Chordata; Mammalia; Artiodactyla; Suidae
Description: lncRNA (ENSSSCG00070005652.1)
Source: RNAcentral
GGUCUAGACUCACAGUCUGUAACCUCUGGGAGGAGGUCCAGGAAUGGAACCAUCCGAGAUGGACUCUCUAAUAUUUUCUGGGAGGAAUCAAGGGACUCCAAUGCUGGAAGCAAGGCCCCUGGAGGACCUCAGGGUGGUGCUGACAGCCCUUUGUGACUCAGGGACUCACCGGUGUCCGCCCAGGCAGUUCCCCUUUCCGUCGGCCUCAGGGAACUGCUCAGGAGAUCUUCUCAUGAGAGGAAUCCCGACUGCUCCACAGACAGGUGCCAGCGUUCAGACCCUGAGGCUGCCUCUGGCUCCGCAAGUGUGGAUGUGCCCAGGCAGGUCUCAGGACGGAGCCUCGAGAAGCAGGAAAGGCCGUGUGGAUGGAGCCCCUGGGGACGGAGAGGAGGAGGAAGAUGGACUGGGUCGAGCAGAGGAGUCAUCUGAUUCACCGUACAGGACAGCGUCCAGCCUUCACGCCGGGACGUCCUCCAGGGACGCCGUCGGGAGUCACAGGCUUCAGGAAGGUAGGUGCUUCGUCUGUAACGUCUUUAGCCUGAAAGGAGGCAGCCUUAAGGAAAUCUGGAAUGUAAACAUGAGCCUUUGCCCAGAAAAGAAAGAAACUUAUGGACUUGGAGAACAGACUUGUGGUUGCAGAGGGGGAGGGAGUGGGAUGGACGGGGAGUCUGGGGUUAACAGAUGGAAACUAUUGCCUGUGGAAUAGAAAAGCAAUGAGAUCCUGCUGUGCAGCACAGGGAACUAUGUCCAGUCACUUGGGAUAGACCAUGGAGGAGGAUAAUGUGAGAAAAAGAAAUUAUAUAUGAUUGAGUCACUUUGCUGUACAGUAGAAAUGGACAGAAUACUAUAAAUCUACUACAAUGGAAACAAUAAAAAUACUAAAUUUAACA